Pezoporus occidentalis (night parrot) is the source of this 964-nucleotide long non-coding RNA. RefSeq lists it as uncharacterized. Lineage: Eukaryota; Metazoa; Chordata; Aves; Psittaciformes; Psittacidae. The transcript is spliced from 3 exons. The record is from RefSeq and is a predicted model, not a curated record.
GAUCCCCUCAUCCCCUACCAAAGGGCCCUUCUCACUCUUCUGGGACAAAAUCGAGAGAGACGAAAAGCUUCAUUUACUGACAGGGUGGCAAAUGCUCUCAGGUCUGCAGCUGAGGUUCAGCUCCCCAGUUAGGACAUUUUGCUUCAGUUCUGUUACAGGGCACCUGUGACCUGUGUGGAGAGAUAAAGCUGCUUUUGGCCAAAGCAUCGUUCAGUUCAGAGUGAGCACUGCAAAACAUGUCAGAGAACAAAAUAGGUGUCCUGGUUUUGCAGCUCUGCCUGGAAAAGGGUUAGAUACAGCUUUUAUGGCCAGACCUUCAGACUGUGGUUUCCACUGAGAGCAUCCUGGUACAUGUGUAUCAUGCUGAUGCUGGGUUUCUGCCUGGUGCUGCCUUUGUGCCAUGAGGACUUCCACAAGCUCCUAACUGCUGUCAAGCACAUCCAGAAGGUCCUUUGGCAGCUAACAGUCCUGAGGAAGAGAGGCCAUCAGGAAACCUGCUGAAGACCUGGAGGAAGCAAGAGGUGACCAAAGUCUGGAGAAGUGUUCAUUAAGAGGUGCUGGGAGUUACCAUAUGGCAAAAUCUAAACUUCCAUAGAGACACAAGCACUGGAGAUAGGAUCCAGCCCAUUCCCUGGAGAUGGCUCCAGUAAUGAUAAGUGUAUCUGGAUCAUCCAGGACCAUUCUUCAUAGCCAAGGAUCUUGAGACAUAAGUCACCAGUCUUCCUUCAAGAAGGAUCAGCUAAACAGGAUACAGCCAUGUGGCAGCCCUGGAGUCCAUGCAGUCCAGGAGGACCCUUUCUGUGGUUCAGCUGCAUGGAUAUGGAUAUGUGUUGCUUGAAGGCAAAGCAAGCAAAUUCAAAUUUUCCUGGAAGUAGGCAUGUUCUCACUUUGGCUCCAUCACCAACAGGUCUUACAGGCAUAUCCAUCCAGUGUAUCAGAUGGGAGGUGAUACUCAUGUGGAAGU